Cucumis sativus (cucumber) is the source of this 829-nucleotide long non-coding RNA. RefSeq lists it as uncharacterized. The transcript has 2 exons. NCBI's taxonomy places the organism in Eukaryota, Viridiplantae, Streptophyta, Magnoliopsida, Cucurbitales, Cucurbitaceae. The record is from RefSeq and is a predicted model, not a curated record.
GAAGCCCAUAAGGAGCUUCACAUGCUUGUAUCUCUCUCCCCUCUUAUUGUACAAUGGCACUGCUCGGAUUCCUGAUCGCAGAUCUUUCACCGGCAAACAUGUCUGCCCCGCGAAGUCAUCUUUUCCAGAUGUGUCGUAAUCACGAACAAUUAUUUGUAGAAAAGCCAAUUCAGGAGUGCUUAUUGAGAAACUAAACUCCUCAUUCCAAACAGAAGGUCUGGAGAUCUGAUCCACGUUUCAUCUUCUUUGCACGAAUAGCAAUCAAACUUUCAUAUUCUGGAAUAGCAAUAUCUUCAUCUUUAUCCAACAUCUCCAGAUACUCCUGCAAGUCAGAAUGAGAACUGCAUCAAGAAUUCUACAUCAUGUUCACUUGUGGAAAGCAAUUUCAGAAGUUAAGGAGAUUAUGUAACUGUGAAUCUUUUCAGGUUUGUCUAAAUGUUACAGAUUUUGUUACAUCAUUAUAAGUUACUUAUUUUCAUGAAAGAUGUGUAAAAUAAUGAUAUGAACCUCAUCUAUAUCGUCUUGAGAAUUUGCACUCUGAUCAUCUGCUGGUGGUUUUUCCUUGGUUCUGCGCUCUGGUGGUUUGGUAGAAAUCAGAAUCUUUCCCUUAAGUAACUCUGGCGAUGGAAAUUGAUGAACGUCUUCUCCACGUUUAGGAACAUAGAGGAUGUCCCUAAAUGUUGAAUUAAGCAUCUGCACUUUAUUACAGAGGUAAAAGAAGAAUUCAUGGUACUUAAAAGAUAAUGGAAGUCUUUGCUUUGGUCUGUUUGUCACUAUUCUAUUAGACUUCAAACUUUGAGAUGGGUGUCUUCUCUAUUUGGUUCUAAAA